This 517-nucleotide ribosomal RNA is filed under the name uncultured Glomus. RNAcentral describes it as "SSU rRNA". It matches the Rfam family "Eukaryotic small subunit ribosomal RNA", at positions 579 to 1100 of the family's 1831-position model. Lineage: Eukaryota; Fungi; Glomeromycota; Glomeromycetes; Glomerales; Glomeraceae. The record is from RNAcentral.
GUAUUCCGCUCCAUAGCGUAUAUUAAAGUUGUUGCAGUUAAAAAGCUCGUAGUUGAAUUUCGGGGUCAGUAGGCUGGUCGUGCCACAGGUACGUACUGGUCUCACUGAUUCCUCCUUCCUGAUGAACUGUAAUGCCAUUAAUUUGGUGUUGCGGGGAAACUGGACUGUUACUUUGAAAAAAUUAGAGUGUUUAAAGCAGGCUAACGCUUGAAUACAUUAGCAUGGAAUAAUGAAAUAGGACGUUCGAUCCUAUUUUGUUGGUUUCUAGGAUUGACGUAAUGAUUAAUAGGGAUAGUUGGGGGCAUUAGUAUUCAAUUGUCAGAGGUGAAAUUCUUGGAUUUAUUGAAGACUAACUACUGCGAAAGCAUUUGCCAAGGAUGUUUUCAUUAAUCAAGAACGAAAGUUAGGGGAUCGAAGACGAUCAGAUACCGUCGUAGUCUUAACCAUAAACUAUGCCGACUAGGAAUCGGAUGAUGUUAAUUUUUUAAUGACUCAUUCGGCACCUUACGGGAAACAA